CUACGGGUUGCUGCAGUGAGGAAUAUUGGGCAAUGGAGGCAACUCUGACCCAGCCAUGCCGCGUGCAGGAAGACGGCCCUCUGGGUUGUAAACUGCUUUUGUUUGGGAAUAAACCCUUCUACGUGUAGGAGGCUGAGGGUACCAUUCGAAUAAGGAUCGGCUAACUCCGUGCCAGCAGCCGCGGUAAUACGGAGGAUCCAAGCGUUAUCCGGAUUUAUUGGGUUUAAAGGGUCCGUAGGCGGGUCUUUAAGUCAGUGGUGAAAGCCCACAGCUCAACUGUGGAACUGCCAUUGAUACUGGAGAUCUUGAGUGUAGUAGAAGUAGGCGGAAUAGGGCAUGUAGCGGUGAAAUGCAUAGAUAUGCCCUAGAACACCGAUUGCGAAGGCAGCUUACUAUGUUACAACUGACGCUGAGGGACGAAAGCGUGGGGAGCAAACAGGAUUAGAUACCCGCGUAGUC
RNAcentral lists this ribosomal RNA (459 nucleotides) under uncultured bacterium. RNAcentral describes it as "partial 16S ribosomal RNA". It matches the Rfam family "Bacterial small subunit ribosomal RNA", at positions 339 to 795 of the family's 1533-position model. The record is from RNAcentral.